UGAGUUUGGAUACAAAUAUGUACUAAAUGUGACACAUUUCCCAACCGUGGACAGCACCUCACAGUGACACCUUACAUAAAGGUAUAGUCAAAAACUAUUUUAGAAACUAAAAUCUUUGAGAAGUGCUCAAGGAAACCUUCGUACAUGGGAGGCCAUGCUUCUAGGUUAUGAUAGAUAUCAUAUGGCCACAUAAUUAUCCUUGGUUGCCCAAUAGACC
RNAcentral lists this long non-coding RNA (217 nucleotides) under Panax ginseng (ginseng). Its description in RNAcentral is "long non-coding RNA (PGIN_LNC000630)". The record is from RNAcentral. Lineage: Eukaryota; Viridiplantae; Streptophyta; Magnoliopsida; Apiales; Araliaceae.